This 505-nucleotide ribosomal RNA is filed under the name uncultured bacterium. Its description in RNAcentral is "partial 16S ribosomal RNA". It matches the Rfam family "Bacterial small subunit ribosomal RNA", at positions 28 to 507 of the family's 1533-position model. The record is from RNAcentral.
GACGAACGCUGGCGGCGUGCCUAAUACAUGCAAGUAGAACGCACAGUUUAUACCGUAGCUUGCUACACCAUAGACUGUGAGUUGCGAACGGGUGAGUAACGCGUAGGUAACCUGCCUGGUAGCGGGGGAUAACUAUUGGAAACGAUAGCUAAUACCGCAUAAUAUUAAUUAUUGCAUGAUAAUUAAUUGAAAGGUGCAAUUGCACCACUACCAGAUGGACCUGCGUUGUAUUAGCUAGUAGGUGAGGUAACGGCUCACCUAGGCGACGAUACAUAGCCGACCUGAGAGGGUGAGCGGCCACACUGGGACUGAGACACGGCCCAGACUCCUACGGGAGGCAGCAGUAGGGAAUCUUCGGCAAUGGACGAAAGUCUGACCGAGCAACGCCGCGUGAGUGAAGAAUGUUUUCGGAUCGUAAAGCUCUGUUGUAAGAGAAGAACGGGUGUGAGAGUGGAAAGUUCACACUGUGACGGUAUCUUACCAGAAAGGGACGGCUAACUACGUG